UUUGAAGCAGCAGGACAAGCCUUCACUCAUAUGCUUACUGUAAAAAGAUUGAAGCUGCUCUUCUGUUGUAAAGUCGUGGUAUUGUUUGCCUUUGUCUUGGUUCCUUUGUAGCUCUUUUAUUCCUUUCACUCACUUCUUCACUUUUGUGUCAUUGGCCUACCUGUUUCUGCCCUGCUGACGAUCAGCAUUUGGGCACGGAAUGCUAAGCAAUCCAUGGGUGUUAGAUGCGGGUGACCAGACGUCCCCGAUUUCCGGGGACAGUCCCCGUUUUCGGUGAUCUGUCCCCGGUCAAAGCUGUCCCCGGAAAUGUCCCCGAUUUUGACACUGAAUGGGGGGAAAAUGCGCGCAGACUCAAAUACCAGUUAUUACGGUAGUCAUUUAACGCAUCACCAGAGAAGACGUCGUAUGACGUAAAGACGUUAUCAGGACGUACGACCAGACGCAGAAGCGUCAACAACAACAAUCUAGAGGCGGCAAAAAGGAAAAAGAGAAGAUCAGCGGUCAUAAAUGGCUCCUGAGGCGGAGGUGGAUGAAUGAGGGGAUCACGGGGCGCCACCAGGGAUGUUUGGCCCCAUGAAAAGAUAUCACACUGGGUCCCACGUUCACACACAGGCAACGCCAACCAUGUGCAGUUUCUGUAACCACACCUCUACCUGUGAAGGCUUCAAUUAUCUUAUAGUCCGAUACUAACUUUACAAUAUCUACUGACACUGAGCUGUGAUAAUAUAACACUGUGAAGACAUGCAGGAAACAUUCUGCAUACUGAUUAAGUGUUUGUUCAAUUAUAAAUUUGAUUUUCUAUUAAAAUCCAUUAAUGAUGUUUUUUUAUUAGCAUAACUAAUGUUCUAAUAUUUUUUCAGGGCCCCUGUCAGUCACAGGCCCUCAGAAUUGUCCUUACUUUUCGCCUCCUAAUGGCGCUUCUGACCUUUUGUGUAAUAAAAGCUGGUUAAAAUACAUGAAAAAGUACUUGUCCCCAUUUUUUAUUUCAUAAUGAUAAUAUGUAAGGAUUUUUCACCGCCGCAUUGAAAAUGGCCCCGAUUUUCAUUUCAGAAA
Long non-coding RNA from Gadus macrocephalus (Pacific cod), 1053 nucleotides. RefSeq lists it as uncharacterized. The transcript is spliced from 3 exons. The record is from RefSeq and is a predicted model, not a curated record. NCBI's taxonomy places the organism in Eukaryota, Metazoa, Chordata, Actinopteri, Gadiformes, Gadidae.